CUCAAUUGCACACCUGUUACCACGACAUUAAAGAUCUAAAGUCCAAGGCCAAAUCCCUUCCGCACCACAGACCGUGUGACUGUGCAGUUGAUUUGCUGCCUGGAACCACACCUCCACGAGGGAGGUUGUUCUCUCUUUCACGGCCGGAACACAAGGCUAUGAAGGAGUAUGUGGUUGAAUCACUGGCAGCCGGGAUUAUUCACCCAUCUUCAUCCCCUACGGGAGCCGGAUUUUUAUUUGUGGACAAGAAGGACAAGACUCUGCGACCCUGUAUCGAUUACCGGGGUCUCAACGACAUUACUGUGAAAAACAGGUACCCUCUUCCUCUCAUGUCCACCGCCUUUUGAGUUCCUGGAGGGAGCCAAGGUUUUCACCAAACUAGACAAGAAAUGCAUAUCAUCGAGUCAGGAUAAGGGAGGGGGAUAAAUGGAAAACAGCAUUCAACACACCAACGGGACAUUACGAGUAUUUGGUGAUGCCUUUUGGACGAACUAACGCUCCAGCUAUGUUCCAGAACUUUGUCAAUGAUGUCCUGCGUGACAUGUUGAAUGUGUACGUUUUUGUAUAUUUGGACGAUAUUUUGAUAUUCUCCCCGGAUGAGGAGACUCACAUCAUUCAUGUCCGCUCUGUGUUGCAGCAGUUAUUGCAGAAUGAACUAUAUGUCAAGGCUGAGAAAUGUGAGUUCCACAAGGCGUCCCUUUCUUUUCUGGGGUUCGUGCUGGUUCCAGGUGAAAUCAAAAUGGACCCUUGCAAAGUUGAUGCCGUGACUAAUUGGCCCACUCCCACGUCACGCAAAUACGUACAAAUGUUCUUAGGGUUCGCUAAUUUCUACAGAAAGUUCAUUAGAAAUUUCAGUUCUAUAGCCUCGUCUUUGCAUGAUCUUACCUCACCACACAGACCUUUCAUAUGAACCCGCUUUGUCAGGCAGCUUUUCAGAAACUUAAAUCGAGCUUUACCUCCGCUCCCAUCCUCACUUUGCCAGAUCUCACAAAGCAGUUUGUGGUAGAAGUAUGAUGCCGGUAUAGGAGCAGUGCUCGCCCAGAAAUGUCUCAAGGAUGGUAAAUUACAUUCUUGUGCUUAUCUGUCCAAAAAACUGACCCCAGCCGAGAGAAAUUAUGACAUUGGUGACCGUGAACUGCUGACAGUCAAGGUGGCUUUGAUGGAGUGGUGGCACUGGAGGGGGCACAUACUCCGUUUUUAGUAUGACAGAUCACAAGAACCUGGAAUAUCUUAAAUCUGCUAAGAGAUUAAAUGCGAGGCAGGAUAGAUGGGCUCUGUUUUUCACUAGAUUCAAUUUCACGUUAUCCUACCGACCUGGUUCUAAAAAUGGUAAGCCAGAUGCUUUAUCGCGCAUUUUCUGCGCAGAGAAUUCUUAGUCCGACCCUAAUACCAUUUUGCCCAAGUCAUGUUUCGUUUCUGCUUUUGUUUGGGACAUUGAGACUGCAGUAAAAGAGGCUCUGAAGAACACUCUUAGCCCUGAAAAUUGUCCUGAAAACAGGCUUUAUGUGGUUCCGACCUGAAGGGGAAGAGUCAUCCACUGGGCUCACACUAACCGGACAGUAUGUCACCCAGGAAUUGCCAAGACUCAAUCUGUGAUCGAACAACGCUUUUGGCGGCCCAUUGUUAGAAGGGAUGUUACCAAUUAUGUCAAUGCUUGCCAGGUAUGUGCUGCUAACAAGUCCUCUCGUAAACAUCCUUCUGGGGAGUUACGACCCCUUCCAAUACCACAACGUCCUUGGUCAGACAUCUCCGUAGACUUUGUGACGGGAUUACCGGCCUCGAAAGGAAAUACACCAUUCUCACAGUCGUGGACAGGUUAAGAUGGCAGACUUCAUUGCACUCCUGAAAUUCAAGUUCCAUGGUUUCCUCAAGAAUGUGGUAUCUGAUAGGGGUCCCCAAUUCAUUUCACAAUUUUGGAAGGAGUUUUGCAAUCUCAUAGGUGCUACCGUCAGUCUGUCAUCUGGGUUCCACCCCGAAACCAACGGACAAACCAAGAGCCUGAACCAGGACCUGGAGACUGGGCUGCAAUGUCUCGGUUGACAGGAGCCACGAUCCUGGUCUCAGAAACUGGUUUGGGUCGAAUUCUCUCACAAUUCCCUCUCCUCUGCAUCCACUGGUCAAUCGCCUUUUCACGUUGUGCGUGGUUAUCAACCAUCUCUAUUUCCUGCCAUAGCACCAGAGUCCGCAGUUCCAGCGGCAUUGGCCUUGGUGAGACGCUGCAGGAGGACCUGGGAGCGAGCCCGCCAGAUGCUGCUGCGCCACGGACGGUCCUACAAAACCGCUGCUGACCGUCGGAGGACUACAAGGUGGGUCAGCGAGUUUGGCUCUCCGCAAAGCAUAUUCCACUCCGGGUGGAGCCCAGGAAGCUCGCUCCCAGGUUCGUUGGGCCCUUCCCCAUCACAUUAAUCAUCAACCCUGUCACCGUGAAGCUUAGGCUCCCAAGGUCGAUGCGGGUCCACCCUGCUUUUCACGUCAGCCUGCUCAAGCCCGCCCGGGAGUGCCCUCUGGUCCAGCCUUCCAGGCCCCCGCCUACAUCCCAGAGUCGUGCAUUUUUGGGUCCUAUCCUCUGUUCCGUUCAUGACAGUCCACUGUCCACACCGCGACCUGCCAACACAUGCAGGACCACCUCCAUAACCUUUUCUCAAUCUGUUCAUCAUUUUACAUCUGCCUCCGCCUGCUCUUGGGUCCAGCUACUCCCCUCUCCUCGCGUGCUCCCCUGUGUACCUGACCCUCGUCAUUCCUACCACCAAGCCAGCCGCCUGUCCACACCGCAGCCUGCCAACACUUCCAAGACCACCUCCAUAACCUUUUCUCA
Long non-coding RNA from Phyllopteryx taeniolatus (common seadragon), 2815 nucleotides. RefSeq lists it as uncharacterized. NCBI's taxonomy places the organism in Eukaryota, Metazoa, Chordata, Actinopteri, Syngnathiformes, Syngnathidae. The record is from RefSeq and is a predicted model, not a curated record. The transcript is spliced from 3 exons.